CUGGUUGAUCCUGCCAGAGGUUACUGCUAUCGAGGUUCGACUAAGCCAUGCGAGUCGAAUGUAGCAAUACAUGGCGUACUGCUCAGUAACACGUGGACAACCUGCCCUUAGGUCGGGUAUAAACCCGGGAAACUGGGUAUAAUCCCCGAUAGGUCUCGGCUGCUGGAAUGCAUCGAGAUUUAAAGCUCCGGCGCCUAAGGAUGGGUCUGCGGCCUAUCAGGUAGUAGUGGGUGUAGCGUACCUACUAGCCUACGACGGGUACGGGUUGUGAGAGCAAGAGCCCGGAGAUGGAUUCUGAGACACGAAUCCAGGCCCUACGGGGUGCAGCAGGCGCGAAAACUUUACAAUGCUGGCAACAGCGAUAAGGGAACCUCGAGUGCCAGGUUACAAAUCUGGCUGUCGAGAUGCCUAAAAAGCAUUUCAUAGCAAGGGCCGGGCAAGACCGGUGCCAGCCGCCGCGGUAACACCGGCGGCUCGAGUGGUAACCGUUAUUAUUGGGUCUAAAGGGUCUGUAACCGGCCGGAUAAGUCUCUUGAGAAAUCUGGCAGCUUAACUGUCAGGCUUUCAGGAGAUACUGUCUGGCUCGAGGCCGGGAGAGGUGAGAGGUACUUCAGGGGUAGGGGUGAAAUCUUGUAAUCCUUGAAGGACCACCAGUGGCGAAGGCGUCCCACCAGAACGGACCUGACGGCAAGGGACGAAAGCUAGGGGCACGAACCGGCUUAGAUACCCGGGUAGUCCUAGCCGUAAACGAUACUCGCUAGGUGUCGGCCACGGUGCGACCGUUGUCGGUGCCGUAGGGAAGCCGUGAAGCGAGCCACCUGGGAAGUACGGCCGCAAGGCUGAAACUUAAAGGAAUUGGCGGGGGAGCACCAC
RNAcentral lists this ribosomal RNA (873 nucleotides) under uncultured archaeon. RNAcentral describes it as "bacterial SSU rRNA". It matches the Rfam family "Archaeal small subunit ribosomal RNA", at positions 4 to 882 of the family's 1478-position model. The record is from RNAcentral.